RNAcentral lists this ribosomal RNA (466 nucleotides) under uncultured bacterium. RNAcentral's name for it is "partial 16S ribosomal RNA". It matches the Rfam family "Bacterial small subunit ribosomal RNA", at positions 28 to 507 of the family's 1533-position model. The record is from RNAcentral.
GACGAACGCUGGCGGCGUGCUUAACACAUGCAAGUCGAACGGAAAGGCCCUGCUUGCAGGGUACUCGAGUGGCGAACGGGUGAGUAACACGUGGGUGAUCUGCCCUGCACUUCGGGAUAAGCCUGGGAAACUGGGUCUAAUACCGGAUAGGAGCCAUUUUUAGUGUGAUGGUUGGAAAGUUUUUUUCGGUGUAGGAUGAGCUCGCGGCCUAUCAGCUUGUUGGUGGGGUAAUGGCCUACCAAGGCGGCGAUGGGUAGCCGGUCUGAGAGGGUGGACGGCCACAUUGGGACUGAGAUACGGCCCAGACUCCUACGGGAGGCAGCAGUGGGGAAUAUUGCACAAUGGGCGCAAGCCUGAUGCAGCGACGCCGCGUGGGGGAUGACGGCCUUCGGGUUGUAAACUCCUUUCGCUAGGGACGAAGCUUUUUGUGACGGUACCUAGAUAAGAAGCACCGGCUAACUACGUG